This 2992-nucleotide ribosomal RNA is filed under the name Salmonella enterica subsp. enterica serovar Typhimurium str. D23580. Its description in RNAcentral is "bacterial LSU rRNA". It matches the Rfam family "Bacterial large subunit ribosomal RNA". The record is from RNAcentral. Lineage: Bacteria; Pseudomonadati; Pseudomonadota; Gammaproteobacteria; Enterobacterales; Enterobacteriaceae.
GUUAAGCGACUAAGCGUACACGGUGGAUGCCCUGGCAGUCAGAGGCGAUGAAGGGCGUGCUAAUCUGCGAUAAGCGCCGGUAAGGUGAUAUGAACCGUUAUAACCGGCGAUACCCGAAUGGGGAAACCCAGUGUGAUUGGUCACACUAUCAUUAACUGAAUCCAUAGGUUAAUGAGGCGAACCGGGGGAACUGAAACAUCUAAGUACCCCGAGGAAAAGAAAUCAACCGAGAUUCCCCCAGUAGCGGCGAGCGAACGGGGAGGAGCCCAGAGCCUGAAUCAGCAUGUGUGUUAGUGGAAGCGUCUGGAAAGGCGCGCGAUACAGGGUGACAGCCCCGUACACAAAAGCGCAUGUGCUGUGAGCUCGAUGAGUAGGGCGGGACACGUGGUAUCCUGUCUGAAUAUGGGGGGACCAUCCUCCAAGGCUAAAUACUCCUGACUGACCGAUAGUGAACCAGUACCGUGAGGGAAAGGCGAAAAGAACCCCGGCGAGGGGAGUGAAAAAGAACCUGAAACCGUGUACGUACAAGCAGUGGGAGCACCCUUCGGGGUGUGACUGCGUACCUUUUGUAUAAUGGGUCAGCGACUUAUAUUCUGUAGCAAGGUUAACCGUAUAGGGGAGCCGGAGGGAAACCGAGUCUUAACCGGGCGUUAAGUUGCAGGGUAUAGACCCGAAACCCGGUGAUCUAGCCAUGGGCAGGUUGAAGGUUGGGUAACACUAACUGGAGGACCGAACCGACUAAUGUUGAAAAAUUAGCGGAUGACCUGUGGCUGGGGGUGAAAGGCCAAUCAAACCGGGAGAUAGCUGGUUCUCCCCGAAAGCUAUUUAGGUAGCGCCUCGUGAAUUCAUCUCCGGGGGUAGAGCACUGUUUCGGCUAGGGGGCCAUCCCGGCUUACCAACCCGAUGCAAACUGCGAAUACCGGAGAAUGUUAUCACGGGAGACACACGGCGGGUGCUAACGUCCGUCGUGAAGAGGGAAACAACCCAGACCGCCAGCUAAGGUCCCAAAGUCAUGGUUAAGUGGGAAACGAUGUGGGAAGGCCCAGACAGCCAGGAUGUUGGCUUAGAAGCAGCCAUCAUUUAAAGAAAGCGUAAUAGCUCACUGGUCGAGUCGGCCUGCGCGGAAGAUGUAACGGGGCUAAACCAUGCACCGAAGCUGCGGCAGCGAACGUAUCACCCAAGACAACUUUACGGAGUUGACGAUUGACGGAGCGAAGCGACGUCAAAGCGUUCAUUAAAGUCGAGUUGGCUUAGGGAUACGUUCGUUGGGUAGGGGAGCGUUCUGUAAGCCUGUGAAGGUGUGUCGUGAGGCAUGCUGGAGGUAUCAGAAGUGCGAAUGCUGACAUAAGUAACGAUAAAGCGGGUGAAAAGCCCGCUCGCCGGAAGACCAAGGGUUCCUGUCCAACGUUAAUCGGGGCAGGGUGAGUCGACCCCUAAGGCGAGGCCGAAAGGCGUAGUCGAUGGGAAACGGGUUAAUAUUCCCGUACUUGGUGUUACUGCGAAGGGGGGACGGAGAAGGCUAUGUUGGCCGGGCGACGGUUGUCCCGGUUUAAGCGUGUAGGUGUGUGUUCCAGGUAAAUCCGGUUCACUUUAACACUGAGGCGUGACGACGAGGCACUACGGUGCUGAAGCAACAAAUGCCCUGCUUCCAGGAAAAGCCUCUAAGCAUCAGGUAACAUCAAAUCGUACCCCAAACCGACACAGGUGGUCAGGUAGAGAAUACCAAGGCGCUUGAGAGAACUCGGGUGAAGGAACUAGGCAAAAUGGUGCCGUAACUUCGGGAGAAGGCACGCUGACACGUAGGUGAAGUGAUUUACUCAUGGAGCUGAAGUCAGUCGAAGAUACCAGCUGGCUGCAACUGUUUAUUAAAAACACAGCACUGUGCAAACACGAAAGUGGACGUAUACGGUGUGACGCCUGCCCGGUGCCGGAAGGUUAAUUGAUGGGGUCAGCGCAAGCGAAGCUCCUGAUCGAAGCCCCGGUAAACGGCGGCCGUAACUAUAACGGUCCUAAGGUAGCGAAAUUCCUUGUCGGGUAAGUUCCGACCUGCACGAAUGGCGUAAUGAUGGCCAGGCUGUCUCCACCCGAGACUCAGUGAAAUUGAACUCGCUGUGAAGAUGCAGUGUACCCGCGGCAAGACGGAAAGACCCCGUGAACCUUUACUAUAGCUUGACACUGAACAUUGAGCCUUGAUGUGUAGGAUAGGUGGGAGGCUUUGAAGUGUGGACGCCAGUCUGCAUGGAGCCGACCUUGAAAUACCACCCUUUAAUGUUUGAUGUUCUAACGUGGACCCGUAAUCCGGGUUGCGGACAGUGUCUGGUGGGUAGUUUGACUGGGGCGGUCUCCUCCUAAAGAGUAACGGAGGAGCACGAAGGUUGGCUAAUCCUGGUCGGACAUCAGGAGGUUAGUGCAAUGGCAUAAGCCAGCUUGACUGCGAGCGUGACGGCGCGAGCAGGUGCGAAAGCAGGUCAUAGUGAUCCGGUGGUUCUGAAUGGAAGGGCCAUCGCUCAACGGAUAAAAGGUACUCCGGGGAUAACAGGCUGAUACCGCCCAAGAGUUCAUAUCGACGGCGGUGUUUGGCACCUCGAUGUCGGCUCAUCACAUCCUGGGGCUGAAGUAGGUCCCAAGGGUAUGGCUGUUCGCCAUUUAAAGUGGUACGCGAGCUGGGUUUAGAACGUCGUGAGACAGUUCGGUCCCUAUCUGCCGUGGGCGCUGGAGAACUGAGGGGGGCUGCUCCUAGUACGAGAGGACCGGAGUGGACGCAUCACUGGUGUUCGGGUUGUCAUGCCAAUGGCACUGCCCGGUAGCUAAAUGCGGAAGAGAUAAGUGCUGAAAGCAUCUAAGCACGAAACUUGCCCCGAGAUGAGUUCUCCCUGAGACUUAGAGUCUCCUGAAGGAACGUUGAAGACGACGACGUUGAUAGGCCGGGUGUGUAAGCGCAGCGAUGCGUUGAGCUAACCGGUACUAAUGAACCGUGAGGCUUAACCUUACA